UCCCUGGAGGACUAGUGGUUAGGCCUUGGUGCUCUAACCGCUGUGGACCAGGUUCAAUUCCCGGCCAGGGAA
RNAcentral lists this transfer RNA (72 nucleotides) under Pangasianodon gigas (Mekong giant catfish). RNAcentral describes it as "tRNA-Leu". It matches the Rfam family "tRNA". Rfam says of the family: Transfer RNA (tRNA) molecules are approximately 80 nucleotides in length. Their secondary structure includes four short double-helical elements and three loops (D, anti-codon, and T loops). Further hydrogen bonds mediate the characteristic L-shaped molecular structure. tRNAs have two regions of fundamental functional importance: the anti-codon, which is responsible for specific mRNA codon recognition, and the 3' end, to which the tRNAs corresponding amino acid is attached (by aminoacyl-tRNA synthetases). tRNAs cope with the degeneracy of the genetic code in two manners: having more than one tRNA (with a specific anti-codon) for a particular amino acid; and 'wobble' base-pairing, i.e. permitting non-standard base-pairing at the 3rd anti-codon position. The record is from RNAcentral. Lineage: Eukaryota; Metazoa; Chordata; Actinopteri; Siluriformes; Pangasiidae.